Molecule: long non-coding RNA, 790 nt
Organism: Zea mays
Lineage: Eukaryota; Viridiplantae; Streptophyta; Magnoliopsida; Poales; Poaceae
Exons: 3
Source: RefSeq, a predicted model, not a curated record
GGGAUGGGCAGCGUUCACCGCUGCAGUUAGCGUUACGGUCCGUUCUGCAAUCCAAACAUCCGAUGGAGCCCCUAUCCUGCACGCCCGCAGAACCGUGCCACCGCCCCUCCCGAGACUUCCGCCACGCCUCCCCACCGUGCGAGAUUGCCGCCCCCGGCCGCGAGUGUGCUGUGUGCCCGUCGAGACAACUGUUGUCUCCUUCCCCAACCUGCAGAAUCGUGCCCACCACCGCCACCUCUCGCGCGAGGCCCGGGUCUGCGGCCACCGGCACAGCCAGCAUCCUUCCCUGCCUGCUCGCUAUGCAUCAUGUCCGCGUUCAGCGAGACAACCGUCGUCCUCCCUUGCUGAGUUAAGUCUCCUUGUGUGCAGAUGAAGGCAAUGGAGUAUGGAUCUGUGCCAGUAUAGAUAAGCUUUUCCAGCUAUGAAUCAAGAACAAUGACCCUUUGCAUUGGGAUCGACAGAUCAAGGGUGGGAUGGUUAGGGGUUCGUUGCGGCCAUAGCCUUCAUUGCAAGGCUUAUUCCUCCAUAAGGAAGCUGUGAACUGGGCAUCUGCUAGAGAACCACAUGACCUACAUGAGGCACCAACUCCUGAAAUUAAGGGUACAAGUAUCUUAUUUUUAAAGGAGGGAGAGCAAGGAUCUGUAGCCUUGAGACCCCAUACAGAUAGAUGCACAAUAUGUGUGAACAAAAAAAAACAAACAAGAAUUAUUUCCUAUAAAAAUAUAUGUACAAAUCUGUGUUGGAUGAUUCUAAUCUUUGAACACAGGGCUUUCAUUGCUUCGGAUUUGGA